This 600-nucleotide ribosomal RNA is filed under the name Escherichia fergusonii. Its description in RNAcentral is "bacterial SSU rRNA". It matches the Rfam family "Bacterial small subunit ribosomal RNA", at positions 45 to 635 of the family's 1533-position model. Lineage: Bacteria; Pseudomonadati; Pseudomonadota; Gammaproteobacteria; Enterobacterales; Enterobacteriaceae. The record is from RNAcentral.
UGCGCGCUACCUGCAGUCGAACGGUAACAGGAAGAAGCUUGCUUCUUUGCUGACGAGUGGCGGACGGGUGAGUAAUGUCUGGGAAACUGCCUGAUGGAGGGGGAUAACUACUGGAAACGGUAGCUAAUACCGCAUAACGUCGCAAGACCAAAGAGGGGGACCUUCGGGCCUCUUGCCAUCGGAUGUGCCCAGAUGGGAUUAGCUUGUUGGUGGGGUAACGGCUCACCAAGGCGACGAUCCCUAGCUGGUCUGAGAGGAUGACCAGCCACACUGGAACUGAGACACGGUCCAGACUCCUACGGGAGGCAGCAGUGGGGAAUAUUGCACAAUGGGCGCAAGCCUGAUGCAGCCAUGCCGCGUGUAUGAAGAAGGCCUUCGGGUUGUAAAGUACUUUCAGCGGGGAGGAAGGGAGUAAAGUUAAUACCUUUGCUCAUUGACGUUACCCGCAGAAGAAGCACCGGCUAACUCCGUGCCAGCAGCCGCGGUAAUACGGAGGGUGCAAGCGUUAAUCGGAAUUACUGGGCGUAAAGCGCACGCAGGCGGUUUGUUAAGUCAGAUGUGAAAUCCCCGGGCUCAACCUGGGAACUGCAUCUGAUACUG